Long non-coding RNA from Telopea speciosissima, 266 nucleotides. RefSeq lists it as uncharacterized. The record is from RefSeq and is a predicted model, not a curated record. The transcript is spliced from 2 exons. Lineage: Eukaryota; Viridiplantae; Streptophyta; Magnoliopsida; Proteales; Proteaceae.
AGGACAUUAAGAAUCAAACUCGAUGUUUUGAGAUUUCACCUUAGAGACAUGGCAAGGAGGUGCCCGAAACCCUACAAAGAUGGAAGGAUACUUUGCGAGCGAUAGGAGAUAAGAGUGGAUGGGUUUUUAACAACGGGGAUGAUCAAUCAGAGUUGGUCAGGUCAGUCGUCCAAAGUUCUUGGAUCCGAUUGAAUAUGGUUCCCUUGAUAGGUGUUAAAAACCCUCUUGGAUUAGAAUCCCGCAUUGAAUCUGUGUUAUCUCUACUA